GAUGAAGAACGCAGCGAAAUGCGAUAAGUAGUGUGAAUUGCAGAAUUUAGUGAAUCAUCGAAUCUUUGAACGCACAUUGCGCCCCUUGGUAUUCCAUGGGGCAUGCCUGUUCGAGCGUCAUUUGUACCUUUAAGCUCUGCUUGGUGUUGGGUGUUUGUCUCGCCUCUGCGUGUAGACUCGCCUCAAAACAAUUGGCAGCCGGCGUAUUGAUUUCGGAGCGCAGUACAUCUCGCGCUUUGCACUCAUAACGACGACGUCCAAAAGUACAUUUUUACACUCUUGACCUCGGAUCAGGUAGGGAUACCCGCUGAACUUAAGCAUAUCAAUAAGCGGAGGA
RNAcentral lists this unclassified non-coding RNA (337 nucleotides) under soil metagenome. RNAcentral's name for it is "partial contains 5.8S ribosomal RNA, internal transcribed spacer 2, and large subunit ribosomal RNA". The stretch from base 1 to 120 matches the Rfam family "5.8S ribosomal RNA", at positions 35 to 154 of the family's 154-position model. The record is from RNAcentral.